AUGAACGCUGGCGGCGUGCUUAACACAUGCAAGUCGAACGAUGAAGCCCAGCUUGCUGGGUGGAUUAGUGGCGAACGGGUGAGUAACACGUGAGUAACCUGCCCUUGACUCUGGGAUAAGCGCUGGAAACGGCGUCUAAUACCGGAUACGAGCUUCCACCGCAUGGUGAGUUGCUGGAAAGAAUUUCGGUCAAGGAUGGACUCGCGGCCUAUCAGGUAGUUGGUGAGGUAACGGCCCACCAAGCCGACGACGGGUAGCCGGCCUGAGAGGGUGACCGGCCACACUGGGACUGAGACACGGCCCAGACUCCUACGGGAGGCAGCAGUGGGGAAUAUUGCACAAUGGGCGCAAGCCUGAUGCAGCAACGCCGCGUGAUGGACGAAGGCCUUCGGGUCGUAAACCUCUUUUAGCAGGGAAGAAGCGAAAGUGACGGUACCUGCAGAAAAAGCACCGGCUAACUACGUG
Molecule: ribosomal RNA, 465 nt
Filed under: uncultured bacterium
Lineage: Bacteria
Description: partial 16S ribosomal RNA
Rfam family: Bacterial small subunit ribosomal RNA
Source: RNAcentral